Molecule: transfer RNA, 72 nt
Organism: Ovis aries (sheep)
Lineage: Eukaryota; Metazoa; Chordata; Mammalia; Artiodactyla; Bovidae
Rfam family: tRNA
About the family: Transfer RNA (tRNA) molecules are approximately 80 nucleotides in length. Their secondary structure includes four short double-helical elements and three loops (D, anti-codon, and T loops). Further hydrogen bonds mediate the characteristic L-shaped molecular structure. tRNAs have two regions of fundamental functional importance: the anti-codon, which is responsible for specific mRNA codon recognition, and the 3' end, to which the tRNAs corresponding amino acid is attached (by aminoacyl-tRNA synthetases). tRNAs cope with the degeneracy of the genetic code in two manners: having more than one tRNA (with a specific anti-codon) for a particular amino acid; and 'wobble' base-pairing, i.e. permitting non-standard base-pairing at the 3rd anti-codon position.
Source: Rfam
UCCCUGCUGGGUCAGACUGUAAAGAAUCUGCCUGUAAUGCAAGAGACCCAGGUUCGAUCCCUGGGUAGGGAA